RNAcentral lists this ribosomal RNA (899 nucleotides) under uncultured bacterium. RNAcentral's name for it is "bacterial SSU rRNA". It matches the Rfam family "Bacterial small subunit ribosomal RNA", at positions 8 to 916 of the family's 1533-position model. The record is from RNAcentral.
AGAGUUUGAUCCUGGCUCAGGACGAACGCUGGCGGCGUGCCUAACACAUGCAAGUCGAGCGAGGACAGAGAAGUAGCAAUACGACUUUGUUCUAGCGGCGGACGGGUGAGUAACGCGUGAGCAACCUGUCCCGAACAGGGGGAUAACGAGCCGAAAGGCUCACUAAUACCGCAUGAGACCACAACGUCACAUGACGAAGGGGUCAAAGGAGAAAUCCGGUUCGGGGUGGGCUCGCGUCUGAUUAGCUAGUUGGUGGGGUAACGGCCUACCAAGGCGACGAUCAGUAGCCGACCUGAGAGGGUGAUCGGCCACAUUGGAACUGAGAGACGGUCCAAACUCCUACGGGAGGCAGCAGUGGGGAAUAUUGGGCAAUGGGCGAAAGCCUGACCCAGCAACGCCGCGUGAAGGAAGAAGGUCUUCGGAUCGUAAACUUCUAUCCCCGGUGAAGAUAAUGACGGUAACCGGGAAGGAAGCCCCGGCUAACUACGUGCCAGCAGCCGCGGUAAUACGUAGGUGGCAAGCGUUGUCCGGAAUUAUUGGGCGUAAAGAGCAUGUAGGCGGGAAUCUAAGUCUGUUGUGAAAAUGCGGGGCUCAACCCCGUAUUGCGAUGGAAACUGGAUUUCUUGAGUGCAGGAGAGGAAAGGGGAAUUCCCAGUGUAGUGGUGAAAUGCGUAGAUAUUGGGAGGAACACCAGUGGCGAAGGCGCCUUUCUGGACUGUGUCUGACGCUGAGAUGCGAAAGCCAGGGGAGCGAACGGGAUUAGAUACCCCGGUAGUCCUGGCCGUAAACGAUGGGUACUAGGUGUAGGGGGUAUCGACCCCCCCUGUGCCGGAGUUAACGCAAUAAGUACCCCGCCUGGGGAGUACGGCCGCAAGGUUGAAACUUAAAGGAAUUGACGG